UACGUAGGGUGCAAGCGUUAAUCGGAAUUACUGGGCGUAAAGGGCGCGUAGGCGGCCAUUCAAGUUAGGUGUGAAAGCCCUGGGCUCAACCUAGGAAUUGCACUUGAUACUGUUUGGCUUGAGUUCGGGAGAGGUGAGUGGAAUUCCCAGUGUAGAGGUGAAAUUCGUAGAUAUUGGGAAGAACACCAGUGGCGAAGGCGGCUCACUGGACCGACACUGACGCUGAGGCGCGAAAGCGUGGGGAGCAAACAGG
This 253-nucleotide ribosomal RNA is filed under the name uncultured bacterium. Its description in RNAcentral is "partial 16S ribosomal RNA". It matches the Rfam family "Bacterial small subunit ribosomal RNA", at positions 524 to 776 of the family's 1533-position model. The record is from RNAcentral.